CAGUAGCCGCGGUAAUACGGAGGGUGCAAGCGUUAAUCGGAAUUACUGGGCGUAAAGCGCACGCAGGCGGUCUGACAAGUCGGAUGUGAAAUCCCUGAGCUUAACUUAGGAAUUGCAUUCGAUACUGGGAAGCUAGAGUAUGGGAGAGGAUGGUAGAAUUCCAGGUGUAGCGGUGAAAUGCGUAGAGAUCUGGAGGAAUACCGAUGGCGAAGGCAGCCAUCUGGCCUAAUACUGACGCUGAGGUACGAAAGCAUGGGGAGCAAACAGGAUUAGAUACCCGCGUAGUCCCUGUCUCUUAUAA
RNAcentral lists this ribosomal RNA (301 nucleotides) under uncultured bacterium. Its description in RNAcentral is "partial 16S ribosomal RNA". It matches the Rfam family "Bacterial small subunit ribosomal RNA", at positions 509 to 809 of the family's 1533-position model. The record is from RNAcentral.